Molecule: ribosomal RNA, 254 nt
Filed under: uncultured bacterium
Lineage: Bacteria
Description: partial 16S ribosomal RNA
Rfam family: Bacterial small subunit ribosomal RNA
Source: RNAcentral
UACGUAGGGUGCGAGCGUUGUCCGGAAUUAUUGGGCGUAAAGAGCUCGUAGGCGGCUUGUCGCGUCGUGUGUGAAAUCUCAGGGCUCAACUCUGACAUUGCAUACGAUACGGGCAGGCUUGAGUUCGGUAGGGGAGACUGGAAUUCCUGGUGUAGCGGUGAAAUGCGCAGAUAUCAGGAGGAACACCGGUGGCGAAGGCGGGUCUCUGGGCCGAUACUGACGCUGAGGAGCGGAAAGCGUGGGGAGCGAACAGG